GAGUACGCGUAGGAAUCUAUCCUUGAAGUGGGGACAACCGUGGGAAACUACGGCUAAUACCGCAUGAUGCCUGAGGGACCAAAGACGAAAGUCGUUUGAGGAGGAGCCUGCGUCUGAUUAGGUAGUUGGUGGGGUAAAGGCCUACCCAAGCCUGCGAUCAGUAGCUGGUCUGAGAGGAUGAUCAGCCACAUUGGGACUGAGACACGGCCCAAACUCCUACGGGAGGCAGCGGUGGGGAAUAUUGGACAAUGGGCGCAAGCCUGAUCCAGCAAUGCCGCGUGGGUGAAGAAGGUCUUCGGAUUGUAAAGCCCUUUUGGCGGGGACGAUGAUGACGGUACCCGCAGAAUAAGCUCCGGCUAACUUCGUG
Molecule: ribosomal RNA, 367 nt
Filed under: uncultured bacterium
Lineage: Bacteria
Description: bacterial SSU rRNA
Rfam family: Bacterial small subunit ribosomal RNA
Source: RNAcentral